Molecule: ribosomal RNA, 405 nt
Filed under: uncultured bacterium
Lineage: Bacteria
Description: partial 16S ribosomal RNA
Rfam family: Bacterial small subunit ribosomal RNA
Source: RNAcentral
AUUGAACGCUAGCGGGAUGCUUUACACAUGCAAGUCGAACGAGUGGCGGACGGGUGAGUAAUAUAUCGGAACGUGCCCAGUAGCGGGGGAUAACUACUGGAAAGAUGGGUUAAACCCCCAUACUAUUGGAGCGGCCGAUACGGGCUUGGCUAGUUGGUGGGGUAAAGGCUCACCACGGCAACGAUCCGUAGCUGGUUUGGACGGACGACCAGCCACACUGGGACUGAGACACGGCCCAGACUCCUACGGGAGGCAGCGGUGGGGAAUUUUGGACAAUGGGGGAAACCCUGAUCCAGCCAUCCCGCGUGUAUGAGAAGGCCUUCGGGUUGUAAAGUACUUUUGGCAGGGAAGCGGUAUCUGCAGAAUAAGCACCGGCUAACUACGUGCCAGCAGCCGCGGUAAUAC